RNAcentral lists this small RNA (409 nucleotides) under Vigna angularis var. angularis. RNAcentral's name for it is "Non-protein coding transcript". Lineage: Eukaryota; Viridiplantae; Streptophyta; Magnoliopsida; Fabales; Fabaceae. The record is from RNAcentral.
AUAGAAUUUGUAUUCAUAUUGUUCAUUAAGAAUGAGUUCAUCAAAGAGUCGUUAUGCCACCAAGAAAGGAAGAUAGCGCAGCAAAGCAUUUGCUUGAGGAUGUACAAUCUUCUAACAGGAAUGGUGCUAGCAAAGGCGCAGAGAAAGAUAAUGGACCAGGCACGGCAUAUAUUCUGAAACCCCCUUCAGAGAUUAAAGAACCAAAGGGUUCUAGAAGCAAAGCUCAAAAAUAAACAAUACCAAAUCACAAACAGGUUUACUUUCAAGUACUUAUGUGGAAAGAAAAUAUGCAGCAACGUGAAGAUUCAAUGUUCUUAUUUCUAACUUCGUUUAGAGUAUAGUGUUUACAAACUAAUGUGACCUAAGAAAUAAGUCUACGUUGUUAUUAGUUAGUAAGUUAUGAUUUGGG